GAUGAACGCUGGCGGCGUGCUUAACUCAUGCAAGUCGAACGAAGCAUUUAAGACAGAUUACUUCGGUUUGAAGUCUUUUAUGACUGAGUGGCGGACGGGUGAGUAACGCGUGGGUAACCUGCCUCAUACAGGGGGAUAGCAGCUGGAAACGGCUGGUAAUACCGCAUAAGCGCACAGUACCACAUGGUACAGUGUGAAAAACUCCGGUGGUAUGAGAUGGACCCGCGUCUGAUUAGCUUGUUGGCGGGGUAACGGCCCACCAAGGCGACGAUCAGUAGCCGACCUGAGAGGGUGACCGGCCACAUUGGGACUGAGACACGGCCCAGACUCCUACGGGAGGCAGCAGUGGGGAAUAUUGCACAAUGGAGGAAACUCUGAUGCAGCGACGCCGCGUGAGUGAAGAAGUAGUUCGCUAUGUAAAGCUCUAUCAGCAGGGAAGAUAGUGACGGUACCUGACUAAGAAGCUCCGGCUAAAUACGUG
This 481-nucleotide ribosomal RNA is filed under the name uncultured bacterium. RNAcentral describes it as "partial 16S ribosomal RNA". It matches the Rfam family "Bacterial small subunit ribosomal RNA", at positions 28 to 507 of the family's 1533-position model. The record is from RNAcentral.